This 298-nucleotide long non-coding RNA is filed under the name Elaeis guineensis (African oil palm). Its description in RNAcentral is "long non-coding RNA (EGUI_LNC008065)". Lineage: Eukaryota; Viridiplantae; Streptophyta; Magnoliopsida; Arecales; Arecaceae. The record is from RNAcentral.
GAUCUUGGAGGAGGUGAUGAGGCUAGAGUUAUUGCUUCUCUUGCAUCUCUUUUCCUUCUACUUUCUUUACUUCUGGUUGCUAUUUGGUAUUGGAGAAGAUACAUCUUCGGAGUCAUCCUUUUUCAAAGUUGACCACACUAAAGAUUAGAGAAGGAGGUGGGGAGAAGAUUCUGGUUUGAGAUUUGAGAUGUGAGAGGAGAUGGUGAGAUAGAUUUGGAGAUGGGAGCUAAAAAUUUUGAGAGGAACGAAAUCAUGAAAAGGGAAAGAAGAUGAACAAGAGGAGCUAGAAUGUUGGUUU